This 1687-nucleotide long non-coding RNA is filed under the name Homo sapiens (human). RNAcentral describes it as "HSALNT0371147". Lineage: Eukaryota; Metazoa; Chordata; Mammalia; Primates; Hominidae. The record is from RNAcentral.
AGACCCUUUUAUCAAAUACGGUCUCUCUCUGACAGGGGCUGGGUUACUAGGACAUGGACCUAACUCUUGGGGGUAUCACCACUCACCCCACUCCACCAGCCCCCGCCUUUUCUGACAUUGCCCAUUUCCUGAAAGCUCACUCCCUGCCUAGCUCUGAGCCCAAGCCCCAGCGGAACCCCAUGAAGCAGAGGGGGAAACGGAGGCACAGGGAGUUCAGCCGAUGCCCAGGGGACCAAGUGGGGCCAAGGUUUGAACCUGGCUUUCCGAGUGGCCCCAACACAGUAGCCGCUGGGUAUUGGCCUCCCUCCAGUUUACAGGAAACAAGGGACUCUCACGCCCACGCCUCUCGGCCGAGGGCCAAACUGACAGUGAGUCACCCCCACUCCACAGGCCAAGAAGCUUGAAGCAGCUCAUCGAGGGGGACCAGACAAACGGUGGGGCCAGGGAGGGCUUCCUGGAGGCUCAGCUUGCUCCAGUGUCAACAGGGGAGCAAAUCCCACCUCCCGCUGCUCUCUCGGGAGGACUCAGCGAGACCCUGGAAGGAGGCAGCUUGGCACACAGGCCCCUGGCAAUCACCACCUCCCUGGUUAUUAGCAGGCCUGGCCCAGCCCACACAGCUGCCCACCCAGCCUCUGACCCCAGCCACAGAAAGGGCCCAUUAUGACAUCACAGGCCAGGAAUUAUGUUAUUAGCCUGGGAAGGAGGCUGGCCUCAGGAACAAAGGGCUCAUUGUCAUGCAAAUGAACGACUCCGGAGGAAGAGGGCAGUUCCUCCACUCUGGGGUGCCCCUCCUGCCCUCUAACUUCUAAGCCACACUGGAAACUGACCCCCAACCUUCAGAAGUGUGGGCAUCUCUGGGCCUCUGCUCUGGGCUAAAUGAGGCGCACUCUCUCAGCCUGGGAAACGGGCCCCUGCCAGUUCUGAGCCAGAUCCCCAGAAAACAGGACCCGCCUCGGAAGAUAGGGAUAGUAGAGGGACUUUUGGGGAUGAAACAGGAUGAUCCCCUUAACAUGCUAAGCAUGACCUUGAGCAAAGAAGCAACUGCCUUGGAAAUGCCAUUCAGUUGGUAAUACUGCAGGCCUGCAGCUGUGUGUCUUUGAGCAAGCUGCCUACCCUCUCUGUGCCUUAUCAGGAGAGGGUGACUCUGUGCCGACUUUACAAGGCUAUGGGAAGGACACAAUGAACUAAGACUCCAGUGAUCACAACCAGUCCAUGCUGAGCUGCCUCGUCACAAAGGCCCUGGUGCUGACUUCUGUUCUGAACCUCACCCAGGACUCUUCUCCACCGGGUUUCUACAAAACAUGAGAGCUCUCUGCAAAGAAGAAAAGAAAAAUGGACGGAACUCGAACUUAAAUCCAACCUUGUGGUUACAAUUACGGAGGCCCACCCAGGCCAGCACUGUGCGGGCCCCUUCAGGCUUCUCUCAGGCUCUCCCGAGACACACCGGCAGGCUGCAGUGCUACCACUGUGGUAAAGGACAAGGAAACUGAGGCUCUGUGGGAUUCCGGGACUUGCCCAAGGUCACACCAUCCUUGAGGGGUCGAGCCAGGACUGGAACCUCAGUCCGGCCACUACAACUUCAUAAAUACCAUCGCCCUGAGAUGCUGAAAUCCCAGGGGCCCCCCACCCUCAGACCAGGUGCCGGUAUUGUCAGCAUCGAGAAAACAAAGUGCCAGUGAAUUAUCAA